CUACGGGAGGCACCAGUGGGGAAUAUUGCGCAAUGGGGGAAACCCUGACGCAGCAAUGCCGUGUGAGUGACGAAGGCCUUCGGGUCGUAAAGCUCUGUCGGCAGGGAAGAAACCUUUAGGGUAACGCCUAAAGCUGACGGUACCUGCAAAGGAAGCACCGGCUAACUCCGUGCCAGCAGCCGCGGUAAUACGGGGGUGCAAGCGUUGUUCGGAUUCACUGGGCGUAAAGAGAGCGUAGGCGGACUAUUAAGCGAGAUGUGAAAGCCCGGAGCUCAACUCCGGAACUGCAUCUCGAACUGGUAGUCUUGAAUACCGGAGGGGAAAGCGGAAUUCCUAGUGUAGAGGUGAAAUUCGUAGAUAUUAGGAGGAACACCAGUGGCGAAGGCGGCUUUCUGGACGGUUAUUGACGCUGAGGCUCGAAAGCGUGGGGAGCAAACAGGAUUAGAUACCCGAGUAGUC
This 459-nucleotide ribosomal RNA is filed under the name uncultured bacterium. Its description in RNAcentral is "partial 16S ribosomal RNA". It matches the Rfam family "Bacterial small subunit ribosomal RNA", at positions 339 to 795 of the family's 1533-position model. The record is from RNAcentral.